RNAcentral lists this transfer RNA (74 nucleotides) under Brachygobius kabiliensis. RNAcentral describes it as "tRNA-Leu". It matches the Rfam family "tRNA". Rfam says of the family: Transfer RNA (tRNA) molecules are approximately 80 nucleotides in length. The record is from RNAcentral. Lineage: Eukaryota; Metazoa; Chordata; Actinopteri; Gobiiformes; Gobiidae.
GUCAGGGUGGCAGAGCCCGGGUAUUGCAUAAGAUCUAAGCCCUUUAGACAAAGGUUCAAAUCCUUUCUUUGACU